Molecule: long non-coding RNA, 535 nt
Filed under: Rattus norvegicus (Norway rat)
Lineage: Eukaryota; Metazoa; Chordata; Mammalia; Rodentia; Muridae
Description: long non-coding RNA NONRATT021866
Source: RNAcentral
CCGAGCGGACCUGCGGCCACACGCUCCCUGCCCCACUCCAAGCUGCUGAAGGCUCGCGGCGCGCCGCGGAACGAGGUCCGUGCUGUGGUACGGAGAGUGCAGGUUACCCGAGAGCCAUGUAGAGCCAGGCUUUGAGCCGCCCGCCUCCCUCGGGAUCGAAUCAAGGGCUCCCGUAGUGUUCGGAGGGGGCGAGAGUGAAGCUUAUCGCCAUUUGCUUGGGUGACUCGGGAGAAGGUGGCCUUUUUGUUUUUCCACCCCGCAUCCUCCGGGACUUUCUGCCCCAGACAGAGGACAGCAUCUCCUGUUUGCUUGCACCGUGCGAGAAUGGGGGUAGGGUACGGACGUUUCCUCCGUAGCUGCUCGAUAAAACGAUCGGACUCCUGAGAGGAGAAGGACGCGAACCGCCAGGGGCCGGAGCCUCUCGCGUGCUGCUGCGGUGGUGGCGGCUGCUCGCUCCGGCUGCUGCAAAGGCGACCUGCCGCAUUCAGACUCUCCGCCGUCUCAGUACCGCCUCUGCGCCAAGCCGGUCCGCCAG